Molecule: ribosomal RNA, 258 nt
Filed under: uncultured bacterium
Lineage: Bacteria
Description: partial 16S ribosomal RNA
Rfam family: Bacterial small subunit ribosomal RNA
Source: RNAcentral
UACGUAGGGGGGCAAGCGUUGUCCGGAAUCAUUGGGCGUAAAGCGCGUGUAGGCGGCCCGGUAAGUCCGCUGUGAAAGUCGGGGGCUCAACCCUCGAAUGCCGGUGGAUACUGUCGGGCUAGGAGUGCGGGAGAGGCGAGUGGAAUUCCUGGUGUAGCGGUGAAAUGCGGCAGACUAUCAGGGAGGAACACCAAUUGCGAAGGCAGCUCGCUGGAACGUAACUGACGCUGGAGACGCGAAAGCGUGGGAGCAAACAGG